GAUGAAGAACGUAGCGAAAUGCGAUACUUGGUGUGAAUUGCAGAAUCCCGUGAACCAUCGAGUCUUUGAACGCAAGUUGCGCCCGAAGCCAUUAGGCCGAGGGCACGCCUGCCUGGGCGUCACACGUCGUUGCCCCCCCAUCUACUCCUUCGGGAUUGCGGGGGGCGGAUGAUGGCCUCCCGUGCGCCACGCCGCGCGGUUGGCAUAAAUGCCAAGUCCUCGGCGACGCACGCCCCGACAAUCGGUGGUUGCGAAACCUCGGUUGCCCGUCGUGUGCGGUCGUCGCGCAUCGAGGGCUCGAAAAAAUUGCCGGGUUCCGGCUCGGCUUUCAACGCGACCCCAGGUCAGGCGGGGUUACCCGCUGAAUUUAAGCAUAUCAAUAAGCGGAGGA
Molecule: unclassified non-coding RNA, 391 nt
Filed under: soil metagenome
Description: partial contains 5.8S ribosomal RNA, internal transcribed spacer 2, and large subunit ribosomal RNA
Rfam family: 5.8S ribosomal RNA (bases 1-122)
Source: RNAcentral